RNAcentral lists this transfer RNA (72 nucleotides) under Candidatus Sulfomarinibacter sp. MAG AM1. RNAcentral describes it as "tRNA-Asn". It matches the Rfam family "tRNA". From Rfam's summary of the family: Transfer RNA (tRNA) molecules are approximately 80 nucleotides in length. Their secondary structure includes four short double-helical elements and three loops (D, anti-codon, and T loops). Further hydrogen bonds mediate the characteristic L-shaped molecular structure. tRNAs have two regions of fundamental functional importance: the anti-codon, which is responsible for specific mRNA codon recognition, and the 3' end, to which the tRNAs corresponding amino acid is attached (by aminoacyl-tRNA synthetases). tRNAs cope with the degeneracy of the genetic code in two manners: having more than one tRNA (with a specific anti-codon) for a particular amino acid; and 'wobble' base-pairing, i.e. permitting non-standard base-pairing at the 3rd anti-codon position. The record is from RNAcentral. Lineage: Bacteria; Pseudomonadati; Acidobacteriota; Thermoanaerobaculia; Thermoanaerobaculales; Candidatus Sulfomarinibacteraceae.
UCCGCAGUAGCUCAAUGGUAGAGCGGGUGGCUGUUAACCACUAGGUUGGGGGUUCAAGUCCCUCCUGCGGAG